RNAcentral lists this ribosomal RNA (943 nucleotides) under uncultured bacterium. RNAcentral describes it as "bacterial SSU rRNA". It matches the Rfam family "Bacterial small subunit ribosomal RNA", at positions 8 to 914 of the family's 1533-position model. The record is from RNAcentral.
AGAGUUUGAUCAUGGCUCAGAGUGAACGCUGGCGGCGUGGUUGAGACAUGCAAGUCGAACGAGUCUGACCUGGUCGUAAGACCGGGUUAGUACGAGUGGCGUAAGGGAGAGUACAAAACAGGUAACGUACCCCGGACACCGGAAUAGCUCGUCGAAAGGCGGAUUAAUGCCGGGUGAUGUCCCGGACCGUAUGGUUCGGGAUCAUAGGAUGGGGACCCUUCGGGGCCUGUCGGUCUGGGAGCGGCCUGUUUCCUAUCAGCUGGUUGGUGAGGUAAUGGCUCACCAAGGCGAUGACGGGUAGCCGGCCUUAGCGGGUGUUCGGCCUCACUGGGACUGAGACACUGCCCAGAGCCCUACGGGGUGCAGCAGUCUCGAAUCAUCCGCAAUGCGCGAAAGCGUGACGGUGCGACGCCGCGUGCGGGAGGAAGCCCCUCGGGGUGUAAACCGCUUUUCAGAGGUAUGAAGUGCGCCCGCCGAAUAAGCGGGUGGCAUUGACGUCAACUCUGGAAUAAGCCACGGCUAACUUCGUGCCAGCAGCCGCGGUAAGACGAAGGUGGCGAGCGUUGCUCGGAAUUACUGGGCUUAAAGCGGGCGCAGGCGGCCCGGUCAGUCGGAUGUGAAAUCCCUCGGCUCAACCGAGGAAUGGCGUCCGAUACUGCCGGGCUUGAGGCAUUCAGGGGCGACUGGAACUCUCGGUGGAGCGGUGAUAUGCGUAGAUAUCGAGAGGAACGCCAAUAGCGAAGGCAGGUCGCUGGGGAUGUCCUGACGCUGAGGCCCGAAAGCCAGGGUAGCGAACGGGAUUAGAUACCCCGGUAGUCCUGGCCCUAAACGAUGCACACUAGGGUGGGGGGAGGGUCUGACGCCCAUCCCUGCCGCAGAGAAAUCGUUAAGUGUGCCGCCUGGGGGAGUACGGUCGCAAGGCUCAAAACUCAAAUGAAUUGAC